AUUGCCCAUCGCUCCUACUCAUUGAAUGGUACGGUGAAGUGUUUGGAUCACAGCGAUGUUGGUGGUUGGUUGCUCGCUACAUCGAAAGAAGUCCUCUAAACCUUAUCAUUUAGAGGAAGAAGUCAUAACAAGGUUUUUGUAGGUUAACCUGCGGAAG
Non-coding RNA from Gossypium hirsutum (cotton), 157 nucleotides. Lineage: Eukaryota; Viridiplantae; Streptophyta; Magnoliopsida; Malvales; Malvaceae. The record is from Rfam.